RNAcentral lists this ribosomal RNA (449 nucleotides) under uncultured bacterium. Its description in RNAcentral is "partial 16S ribosomal RNA". It matches the Rfam family "Bacterial small subunit ribosomal RNA", at positions 29 to 523 of the family's 1533-position model. The record is from RNAcentral.
AAUGAACGCUGGCGGCAGGCCUAACACAUGCAAGUCGAACGGAUCCUUCGGGAUUAGUGGCGGACGGGCGAGUAACGCGUGGGAACAUACCCAAAGGUACGGAAUAGCCUCGGGAAACUGGGAGUAAUACCGUAUGUGCUCGAAAGAGGAAAGAUUUAUCGCCUUUGGAUUGGCCCGCGUUGGAUUAGGUAGUUGGUGGGGUAAUGGCCUACCAAGCCGACGAUCCAUAGCUGGUUUGAGAGGACGAUCAGCCACACUGGGACUGAGACACGGCCCAGACUCCUACGGGAGGCAGCAGUGGGGAAUCUUAGACAAUGGGGGAAACCCUGAUCUAGCCAAGCCGCGUGAUCGAUGAAGGCCUUAGGGUUGUAAAGAUCUUUCAGGUGGGAAGAUAAUGACUGUACCACCAGAAGAAGCCCCGGCUAACUCCGUGCCAGCCGCCGCGGUAA